UUCUUCUUCUUCUUCUUCUUGGCUUAGAAAAAAAAAGAUGGGACUCCAAAAUGAAAAGAAAAUGAAAAUACUAUGCCUUCAUGGAUUUAGAACCAGCGGAAGUUUCCUCAAGAAGCAAAUUAGCAAAUGGGAUCCUUCUAUUUUCCAUCAAUUUGACUUCGAUUUCCCAGAUGGAAUUUUCCCUGCUAAAGGCAAAUCUGACAUAGAAGGCAUCUUCCCACCACCCUACUUUGAGUGGUUCCAGUACAAUGAGGACUUCACAGAGUAUACAAAUCUUGAAGAAUGCAUCUCUUAUUUGUGUGAAUACAUCACAAGCAAUGGCCCUUUUGAUGGUUUGCUUGGCUUCUCUCAGGCAUGUACUUUGCUCUCUUUUGAUGCCACUGAAAAGUAUUUUUCAAACUCUAAUACUAUUGAGUUAGAACUCAUUGUCAAUGAAUUGUUGCCAAUUUGUCCAAUUGACAUCUCAUCAACAGUUUAAUUCAGUAGUUAGGGAAAAAAAAAAUAGAUGACAUAUGAGCUCAAGCUUUUUAUAGCACUAGUGAAUAUUUACUUGAAUUUUAAGCAUAAGACAAGUGCAAAGAAUUUGUUUUCUGUUUUGUUCAGGGAGCAACACUCUCAGCUCUGUUGAUUGGCUACCAAAUUCAGGUAAUUUAGCCUCUCCCUGCCUUCUCAUUUUCAAUUAAAGUUAGUCUCACUACUCCUUGGGGAUUUUGCCUUUCUGGGUCAUGAUUGAAAACAGCAAAAUAUUUGGUGAUGAAACAGGGAAAAGUGUUGAAGGAACUUCCACCUUUGAAAUUGUUUGUAUCAAUAUCAGGGACAAAGUUCAGAGAUCCAAGCAUAUGUGAAGUUGCUUACAAGGACACUAUCAAGGUGAAGUCCGUUCAUUUUUUAGGAGCCAAGGACUGGUUGAGAUUGCCUUCUGAGGAGCUUGCCACUGCCUUUGAUAACCCUCUUAUCAUAAGGCACCCACACGGCCACACUGUCCCAAGACUUGGUUAGUUCUGCUAGCUACUUUUCUUCCCUUUUUUUGUUCAUUGAUCUUCAACUGGGGUUGAAACUCUGAUACUUCCGCUAGCUACUUAAUUACCUUUUUUUUUUUCAAUGAUAUUGAGAAGGGAAGUUGAUGAUUCUAAUUGUAUGGUGUUUGAUGUUAUUACAAAUAGAUGAGGAAUCUACUGAGAAGCUACGUGCAUGGGCGACAGAGAUCAUCCAAUGCAACAACAGAAUUUUGGAGAAAGAAGAAAUUAAGGUGGAUGAGGAAAAGAAGCAAGAAAGGCCUGAUAAGAUAGACAACCAAGAGCAGACUACUAUUCCAGUUUGAACCAAUGAACUAACAAUGGAGCAACUAUUAGCUGCAAAACUACCCUCUAUGCUUUCUAUUAUAUGCUAUGCUUUGAGCUAUUGCGCCCUCCCUUCGUAAAGAUAUAAAUAAAUAAUAAAAAUAAGGGAGAAAGAAGAAGAUUAAAUGAAGUUGAAGCUCACCCAGUCUCUUGUAAGUUUGACAGUUUAGUGCUGAUGUAGUAGCAAUGUUCAUAAAGGGGCUAAUUCUUAAGCCUUACAGAGAAACUUGAGUCAAAUUUGUUCACUUUAGGAGAUUGACGUGUGCGAAAACCAAUUUUGGAAGUCGACAGUGAAUGCCAGAAACCAUCAAAGCCAUUAGUACUGUCACUGCUUAAUUAAUUACAUUAUGAUAUUAUCCUAAGAUAAAUCUUUCAUGGUAUUGAAUGUUCGACAUUUUAAAGAACUUGAUUAAGAUGUGCGUUAAUUUUUAUGUUGCUUGAAGUUUGGAUAUGUCUUCAUAUAUCUGAAUUAUGACUCCAUCUGAAAGUUUCAUAUUGUGGCCCGAUUGGGAUAAAAAGUGAGAUUUGUGGUGGUAGUGAAAGGCACGGACUGAUAGGGCUGGGAUCGAAAUCCAUCAUUAAUCUCUUUAGGGGCGUGGAGGUAACCUCUUUGCGGCAUGGACCGGUAUAAAUAUUGUAAUAUUUUGCCAUUUGCUAUAGAGUUGAGAGAUAUUAAGGAAACACAUGAGACUAAGUUUUGAAAGUUCUAAAUAAUUAUAUUUUACUUUUUCUCUUGUCUUGUCCAUAGACGUAAACCUUAUGGUUGAAUUAUGUUAAAUUCUG
Molecule: unclassified non-coding RNA, 2123 nt
Filed under: Hevea brasiliensis (rubber tree)
Lineage: Eukaryota; Viridiplantae; Streptophyta; Magnoliopsida; Malpighiales; Euphorbiaceae
Source: RNAcentral